RNAcentral lists this ribosomal RNA (516 nucleotides) under Bradysia chlorocornea. RNAcentral's name for it is "partial 16S ribosomal RNA". The record is from RNAcentral. Lineage: Eukaryota; Metazoa; Arthropoda; Insecta; Diptera; Sciaridae.
GUCUUUUUGUAAAUAAAUAUAAAGUCUAACCUGCCCCUUGAAUUAAUUUAAAAGGCUGCGGUAUAUUGACCGUACAAAGGUAGCAUAAUAAUUAGUUUUUUAAUUGAAAACUUGUAUGAAUGGUUGAAUGAGAAAUUAACUUUUUUUAAUAAAAAAAAUUGAAUUUUACUUUUUAGUUAAAAGGCUAAAAUAAAUUUAAAAGACGAGAAGACCCUAUAGAGUUUUAUAAUUAUUUUUUCUAUUAUUUUAUAGGUUAGUUUUAUAUAAAUAAUAUUUUAAAAAUUAUUUUGUUGGGGUGAUAAUAAAAUUUAAUUAACUUUUAUAAUUUUUUUAACAUUAAUAUAUGAAUAAUUGAUCCAAUAAUAUUGAUUAAAAAAUUAAAUUACCUUAGGGAUAACAGCGUAAUUUUUUUUUAAGUUCUUAUUAAUAAAAAAUUUUGCGACCUCGAUGUUGGAUUAAGAUUAAAACUUAGGUGCAGUAGCUUAAAUGUUAAGUCUGUUCGACUUUUAAAUUCUU